GCUGCCCUGCGAGUUGCUGUCCUCCAGGUCGCUCUGGCAGCCCUCGUCGUUGAGCGAGCUCUGCUUGGUGACCUUUG
Non-coding RNA from Anas platyrhynchos (mallard), 77 nucleotides. The record is from Rfam. NCBI's taxonomy places the organism in Eukaryota, Metazoa, Chordata, Aves, Anseriformes, Anatidae.